Lutzomyia longipalpis is the source of this 2100-nucleotide long non-coding RNA. RefSeq lists it as uncharacterized. NCBI's taxonomy places the organism in Eukaryota, Metazoa, Arthropoda, Insecta, Diptera, Psychodidae. The transcript is spliced from 3 exons. The record is from RefSeq and is a predicted model, not a curated record.
GAGUGCACUGUAAUUCAUUUUUUUAGUAAACUGCUACUAAAGUCUGUAGUAAUGAAAUAUUUACUAAAAUUUUUAGUAAUUAUAACAGAAAAUUUUAGUUAUGUUGCCUGGAAUCACUAAAGUCUUUUGUCAUCUUUACUAAAAUUUUAUUUGGCUCUGAAUUUUUUAGUGAAGGUAACUAAAAUUUUUAGUUUUAUUGCUCUUUUACUAAACUUUAGUAGGCAAUUUAGUCAAAUUCUUUACUAAAGUUUCCAGUAAAGACAUAAGUACUAAAAUUCUUUAGUUAUGUCAACUAGAAUUUUAGGAUUAAUGACUACAAUAAUAUUUUCUUCUUUUACUAAAGUUUAGCCAUGCCAAUCAAAAAUUUAGUUGAUAUCACUAAAUUGACACAUUUUUAAACCAAUUAAAUUUUUAGCAAAAAAUUAGAAUUUUUAUUUCCUCUAUAUCAUUUGAUAGUAAUUAUUUCUGAUCAAGUUAAUUUGCGAAAAUAUUAGCAACGUAACGUAUUUUACAUAUUGUCUUUGUUCCAAUGCAAGAUGUUCAGCUCAUACCAUUUUUAUUGUUUUAUUAGGGUGCCGGGGUCUCGAAAAAAAUGCACGCAGAAGAUUUCUUUGUGGCACAUAUCCAACACAUAUACCGGAGGCCUCAUUUUUUCUCACCCUUUCUUACCCACACACAAAUUUUUCUCCUCAGCACCCUCUUAAGUAUUUCACAAUAUUCAGUUCUUUGUGAAAUUUUCCAUCGAAAGUACGCAAAAUAUUUUGUCUUCAAUCAAUGAGAUAUGUGAAAAGUAAAAUUAAUACAUUUUUAUAGUAGUUUUGAGAGUGAAAAUUGUGGAAAAGCCGUUUGUUAAAAAAAAUGAUAAACAUGACAAGGUAUUGUAUAAUUUUAAUGAUUAAGAAUACUUUAUAUUACGAAUUGAUUUGCAAUAAAUAAAGUUAUUAACUUUAAAUUCAACCAACUAAUUAUAUGAUUUUACUAUCUUGCAGUAAAUCAAACUACAUAGAAUAAAUAGGAGAGAUAACAUGGAUCUUAUUCUCAUCGAAGCCAUCCUGUCUGUACUUUGAUUGUCUUCUGAUCCCCAUUAAUAAUUGAAACAGGAUAAAGGAAAUCCAAUAACGAAAAUUAAAAAUUUAAAGGUAAAUAAGUCCUUAUGUACAUUUGUCAUGAAAUUGAUUAGAUCCAAAAAUUUAUCAAUUUCUAAAACCCAAAAUAUUAAUUCUUGUUCAAAUUUAACAGAUUUCACCGAACGAGCGCAUGUAGCCCAAGAUCCCAUAAUCAAAUUGUGGAAUAUUCGAUUGAAGAAAAAGGACAAACAUGAAAAGUUUAUCAGUCUACAAUAAACAAAAGGAAAAUUGGUCUAAUUCUCAAUGAAGCCCUUCUAUCAGUACCUGGAUAAAGUCUGCUGAUCGCAAAUGUUGAUUAAUAUAGGAUAGAGGAAAUCAAUUCGCGAGAAAUGAAGUUUAAAGAUUUCAUCAACUGACAUAAAAAGCAGUACUUUCUCGAUUCCAUGAAGAGGGGAAUUUUGGAAAAAAAUGAUGCUGAAUGAUGUGGACACUUACACAAAAUUGCCCAACUUCACCGGACACAUUGGCUUUUCUUUCAAUAAAACGGGGUAUAAAAGACAUCCAAUUUUUAAAAAUUGUUUUAUGUAAUUAAAAGUUAUGAUUGAUGUACCUAGUUUAAAUGACUAUAUUUUUUAACAAAAUGUCUUCUAAAUGUAAAUUAAAAUUUAAGUAUACCUGCCUAUGUAAUUAUUAUGAAUUAAAGUGAAAUAAAAAAAAAAGAUUUUUUUAUGAAAAUCCAUUUUUUAAAUAUUUUAGUAAAAAAAAACUAGAUUUCCAGUUGGCAUAGCUAAAUUUUAGUAAUCCAAGAAUUUAUAAUUGAUAGUUAUGUUCACUCAAACCUCUGCUGGCAUUCCUAAACUUUAGUAGUAUACAGACGUAAAACAUUUUAAUAAUCAUAACUAAAUAUUCUGUUGAGAGAACUAAAAUUUUUCGUUUUGAGCAACUACUAAAAUUUUAGUAAAAAUUUCUUUACUAAAAUUCUCUACUAAAGUCCAGUCAGUGCCAGUUUUAGUAAUGAUAACUAAAAUCUGAA